AUAAGUGCUGAAAGCAUCUAAGCACGAAACUUGCCCCGAGAUGAGUUCUCCCUGACUCCUUGAGAGUCCUGAAGGAACGUUGAAGACGACGACGUUGAUAGGCCGGAUGUGUAAGCGCAGCGAUGCGUUGAGCUAACCGGUACUAAUGAACCGUGAGGCUUAACCUUACAACGCCGAAGGUGUUU
Molecule: ribosomal RNA, 185 nt
Filed under: Escherichia coli
Lineage: Bacteria; Pseudomonadati; Pseudomonadota; Gammaproteobacteria; Enterobacterales; Enterobacteriaceae
Description: partial 23S ribosomal RNA
Rfam family: Bacterial large subunit ribosomal RNA
Source: RNAcentral